This 253-nucleotide ribosomal RNA is filed under the name uncultured bacterium. RNAcentral describes it as "partial 16S ribosomal RNA". It matches the Rfam family "Bacterial small subunit ribosomal RNA", at positions 524 to 776 of the family's 1533-position model. The record is from RNAcentral.
UACGUAGGGUGCGAGCGUUGUCCGGAUUUAUUGGGCGUAAAGGGCUCGUAGGCGGCCUGUCGCGUCGGGAGUGAAAGCCCACUGCUUAACGGUGAGUCUGCUUCCGGUACGGGCGGGCUAGAGUAUGGCAGGGGAGACUGGAAUUCCUGGUGUAGCGGUGGAAUGCGCAGAUAUCAGGAGGAACACCGGUGGCGAAGGCGGGUCUCUGGGCCAUUACUGACGCUGAGGAGCGAAAGCGUGGGGAGCGAACAGG